AAAACAGAAGAUAAUGUCUUGUGAUUAAUUUAGCAAAACCUUAGCCAGGGUAAUCCCAGUAAGGAGUCACGGGAUAUCUAAAGUUAAUCACAUAAUGGAUGUACUAAUUAUAGGGUUGACAGUGAGCUCUAAGUUAUUCUGGCAUUAGGAGUCAAAGGGAUUGAAUUAUAUAGUAACCAUAGUUCAGGGUUCCAGAAUAUUUGCUUCGCAUAUAUUCGGCCUAUCCGGACGUCGGGUACCAUUGCUAGAUGGUCACAUCGAUUAGUGU
This 268-nucleotide long non-coding RNA is filed under the name Phoenix dactylifera (date palm). RNAcentral's name for it is "long non-coding RNA (PDAC_LNC010917)". Lineage: Eukaryota; Viridiplantae; Streptophyta; Magnoliopsida; Arecales; Arecaceae. The record is from RNAcentral.